AGAGUUUGAUCCUGGCUCAGGACGAACGCUGGCGGCGUGCCUAACACAUGCAAGUCGAGCGAGAGGAGUUCCUUCGGGAACAAAUCUAGCGGCGGACGGGUGAGUAACACGUGGGCAACCUGCCUUGUAGAGGGGAAUAGCCUUCCGAAAGGAAGAUUAAUACCGCAUAACAUUACAUUUUCGCAUGAAGAAGUAAUUAAAGGAGCAAUCCGCUACAAGAUGGGCCCGCGGCGCAUUAGCUAGUUGGUGAGGUAACGGCUCACCAAGGCGACGAUGCGUAGCCGACCUGAGAGGGUGAUCGGCCACAUUGGGACUGAGACACGGCCCAGACUCCUACGGGAGGCAGCAGUGGGGAAUAUUGCACAAUGGGGGAAACCCUGAUGCAGCAACGCCGCGUGAGUGAUGAAGGUUUUCGGAUCGUAAAGCUCUGUCUUCAGGGACGAUAAUGACGGUACCUGAGGAGGAAGCCACGGCUAACUACGUGCCAGCAGCCGCGGU
RNAcentral lists this ribosomal RNA (498 nucleotides) under Clostridium sp. A4-89. RNAcentral's name for it is "bacterial SSU rRNA". It matches the Rfam family "Bacterial small subunit ribosomal RNA", at positions 8 to 521 of the family's 1533-position model. Lineage: Bacteria; Bacillati; Bacillota; Clostridia; Eubacteriales; Clostridiaceae. The record is from RNAcentral. RNAcentral also lists the same sequence under 3 other names.